This 459-nucleotide ribosomal RNA is filed under the name uncultured bacterium. RNAcentral describes it as "partial 16S ribosomal RNA". It matches the Rfam family "Bacterial small subunit ribosomal RNA", at positions 338 to 795 of the family's 1533-position model. The record is from RNAcentral.
CCUACGGGUGGCUGCAGUGAGGAAUAUUGGUCAAUGGCCGGAAGGCUGAACCAGCCAUGCCGCGUGAAGGUCAGUGCCCUAUGGGCGUUAAACUUCUUUUGUGCGGGAGCAAUAAUGGUCACGUGUGGCCAGACGAGAGUAGCGUAAGAAUGAGCAUCGGCUAACUCCGUGCCAGCAGCCGCGGUCAUUCGGGGGAUGCAAGCGUUAUCCGGAUUUAUUGGGUUUAAAGGGAGAGUAGAUGGGUUGUUAAGACAGUUGUGAAAGUUUUCGGCUCAACCGUCAAAUUGCAUUUGAUACUGGGAGUCUUGAGUACAGGUGAGGUAGGCGGAAUUCGUGGUGUAGCGGUGAAAUGCGUAGAUAUCACGAAGAACACCGAUUGCGAAGGCAGCUUACUAAACUGCCACUGACGUUGAGGCUCGAAAGUGUGGGGAUCAAACAGGAUUAGAGACCCCAGUAGUC